Gasterosteus aculeatus aculeatus (three-spined stickleback) is the source of this 1879-nucleotide long non-coding RNA. Lineage: Eukaryota; Metazoa; Chordata; Actinopteri; Perciformes; Gasterosteidae. The record is from Ensembl.
AGCCUUUAAGACAGGGGUCUCAAACUCGAUCAAUAGGAAAUGAGUACUCGCUCGCUUGCUAGACCUUCAUUCGGCGCCAAAAUACGGCGAAAAAAUUUAUGUUUUGUCGUAAUUAUAGUCAAACGUUUUUUGCAGUGGUUGUGGCCAGAGACUUGGAGAAAGUCUGGAACCUUUAGAGUACCAACUUCAGAUUAAUCUUAAUGAUGACAGAAGGGUGUUUUAAAGCCAGUACGUGGGAAAACCAUUCGCUUAUCAACUGACUGACGUCACCGCUCAAAGUCUUCCAAGAAAAUGAGGGACUUUAACCAAGACCUGGAUGAAGGACCCUCCAUCAUUCUGUAUCCAGAUGAAUCUGAAGUCAUCAAUAUCCCUGGGACACAAAGACCUUUUAUUCUAGAAGAAUAUAAAGCAGAAUUAGGCAAACCAUAUUCAAGGAUCACAAUUUUUAUCUGCCCAAAGAAGGACUUUGAAGAAGAUAAGUUGUCAUGUUUUGCCAUAGCCAUUUAUUUAUGUGGCUAAAUGUUUCACUUUUGUCUCAAUGCUGAGAGAUAAAUACAUAAAUAAGUUUAAAAAUAGUUCCCCAUGGUGUUUUCUGCAUUCAUCUUAAAAUUACUGCAAGGAGUUGCAAGUUGGAGUUGAACGUUUUCCCCUCAUAGUCAGACCAUGUGCCAAAACCAACUGUUUCUGGUGCAGUGUCUCAAACCAGCUUCCCAUUCAUCACCAUCUUCUGGAGUUAACUUCUUUUUAAAUGUUUGUCUUUGAAUGACACCAAUCAAGCGACCUUUAAUUGUUUCUUUUUUGCAGUUUUUGCAGUUGGAGAAGUGUCAUUUCUGACUCUGACACAGAGAUUGUCAUAAAAAGACCCCUCACAACGUAGGACCUAGCUAACACGCUACCAUGUGAACCUGCCCAAUACAGACGAAUACAGAGGAUAUUCGUCCAAGUACCUCCAGAUGUCCUGGAAUGCAACUACACAGACCGGUAUGCACCUAUUGUCAUUGAUAACGACUACGAUGAUGACGAAGAUGAAGUUCUAACUGUCAAAGAAAAUAAUGAGGCAUCUUCUAAAGAACCAAUGUGAGUCAUGAGUGCUAUAUUAUUAUCCAUCAUUCUGUCUUACGCGUAGAGUACGAGUAGUCAUUAAACAAAUAAACAUCACUGUAUUAAGAAGGGUCAAAUGACCAUUUCAAAAACUAGGUCCAGAGAGAUCCAAAGAGUUGUCUUUUUGUAAGGAACUGGAUGUAUUAAAUGUAGCCUAUUGUUUUAUUAACUGCCUACUGUCCUAAGGAGUCAAAAGUGUUAUGGGUACAAUUCAUGAAUAUUGAAUGAAAGGAAGGCUUGAUCCCAUUUGUGUUCAUCUAAUAGGCUAUACAAUUCUGCUUAGAGCAUGUUUUUUUACACACAAUGUAACUUUUUGUUCUAGGCAUACAAGUGCCAAGUCAUUUUGUUAAUAUUUAAUUGGUCUAUGUUUGAUACGUAAUGUAGAUGAUUACUGGCAUAACCUCUAAGACGACCUAAAGAGUCACGUGUGUGGAAGUUGUUGGUUUAUUUAUUUAUCAUAGACUUUAUUGCCCCGUGCAUCGCCACUGCUGCUUUUCGUCUGUGUGUCCUUGCGUCUCUCUGAAAAUGCAGAAGCAUAAACUAGGCUUCAGAGUUGAGCGCGUGCACCACCACAGUAUGAAGGCAGCAUGAAUGGAGCCAUGAUACUGCGAUUUACCAACAACUACAAACAAUCGGUCGGCAUACUUCACCCCUAUUGAGCUGGAAAUAUUAAUGCAAACGUACAAGUAUGAACCCGUAAUUAGAAUAACAUUUUGCAGCAAAAGACAGAGAAACGGCGUGGGAGAAACUUGCUGUAACAUUUAUAUUUUGACAUUUA